GCCCACCCAAAAUCUUUCAUGGCCUCCAAACGCCCAUCUAAGAGCAGCGACGAUGGAAUCUUAUUGCGAAUCUCCGAUCACUCCAUCGUGCAAAAGGGGAAGAGCGCCGCCUGCGACGCCAAGUACGUUGCCAUGCGCCUCCUCCUUCCCCCUUUCUCCUUCCUCGCCUCAGACCCCCAAUCACACCACAUAUUUCUCGCCCUAUUCGCCGCCUCAUUCCUCG
This 223-nucleotide long non-coding RNA is filed under the name Salvia miltiorrhiza (redroot sage). RNAcentral's name for it is "long non-coding RNA (SMIL_LNC013083)". Lineage: Eukaryota; Viridiplantae; Streptophyta; Magnoliopsida; Lamiales; Lamiaceae. The record is from RNAcentral.